GAACGUUCGAUUUUCACGAGUCGCCAUUUUAAUUAAAUUAAACGAAACUAAGAUUCCGUAAUUUGUAUUAGUUCAUCAUGUGACGUAUUAAAGUUCAAUCCGUCAUCAAGGUCGAUCGGUACUAUCCGUCCGAUCAGUCCGAUCAGUCAAUUACUUUUACUAUAAGUCUGACGGAUUGCUGACGUGAGUUUGACGCGAACUUGACUGAUCGGUGACUGAUCGAUGACCGCUGAUUGAUCGCUGAAAUAGUAACGCCUAAGGUUGCAAGUACUGUAAUU
Molecule: long non-coding RNA, 278 nt
Filed under: Mytilus galloprovincialis (Mediterranean mussel)
Lineage: Eukaryota; Metazoa; Mollusca; Bivalvia; Mytilida; Mytilidae
Source: RNAcentral